RNAcentral lists this ribosomal RNA (429 nucleotides) under Verrucomicrobiota bacterium. RNAcentral's name for it is "Verrucomicrobia bacterium partial 16S ribosomal RNA". It matches the Rfam family "Bacterial small subunit ribosomal RNA", at positions 355 to 776 of the family's 1533-position model. Lineage: Bacteria; Pseudomonadati; Verrucomicrobiota. The record is from RNAcentral.
UAGGUAAUCUUCGGCAAUGGGGGGAACCCUGACCGAGCAACGCCGCGGGAGUGAAGAAGGUUUUCGGUUCGUCAAGCUCUGUUGGUAAGGAAGAACGAGUGUGAUAAUGGAAAGUUCAUGCUGUGACGGUACUUAACCAGAAAGGGACGGCUAACUACGUGCCAGCAGCCGCGGUAAUACGUAGGUUCCGAGCGUUGUCCGGAUUUAUUGGGCGUAAAGCGAGCGCCGGCGGUUAGCAAAGUCUGAAGUGAAAGGCAGUGGCUCAACCAUUGUAGGCUGUGGAAACUGUUUAACUUGAGUGCAGAAGGGGGGGGUGGAAUUCCAUGUGGAGCGGUGGAAUACGUACAUAUAUGGAGGAACACCGGUGGCGAAAGCGGCUCUCUUGUCUGUAACUGACGCUGAGGCUCGAAAGCGUGGUGAGCGAACAGG